AUUGGGUUAAGGAUUGCAGCGACAUCCUUUUUUUACUACCAUCACUUAGACUACAUUCAGUGACCAAUUUGUAAAAAAAGAUAUAGCGUAAAGCCUGGUGCUAC
This 104-nucleotide small RNA is filed under the name Olleya aquimaris. RNAcentral describes it as "Flavo-1 RNA". It matches the Rfam family "Flavo-1 RNA". Lineage: Bacteria; Pseudomonadati; Bacteroidota; Flavobacteriia; Flavobacteriales; Flavobacteriaceae. The record is from RNAcentral.